CCUACGGGGGGCAGCAGUGGGGAAUAUUGCACAAUGGGGGAAACCCUGAUGCAGCGACGCCGCGUGAGUGAAGAAGUAUUUCGGUAUGUAAAGCUCUAUCAGCAGGAACGAGACAAGACGGUACCUGACUAAGAAGCCCCGGCUAACUACGUGCCAGCAGCCGCGGUAACACGUAGGGGGCAAGCGUUAUCCGGAAUCACUGGGUGGAAAGGGAGCGUAGACGGCUGUGCAAGCCUGAAGUGAAAGGCGGGGGCCCAACCCCUGGACUGCUUUGGGAACUGUACGGCUGGAGUGCAGGAGAGGUAAGUGGAAUUCCUAGGGGAGCGGUGAAAUGCGUAGAUAUUAGGAGGAACACCAGUGGCGAAGGCGGCUUACUGGACUGUAACUGACGUUGAGGCUCGAAAGCGUGGGGAGCAAACAGGAUUAGAUACCCCUGUAGUA
This 441-nucleotide ribosomal RNA is filed under the name uncultured bacterium. RNAcentral describes it as "partial 16S ribosomal RNA". It matches the Rfam family "Bacterial small subunit ribosomal RNA", at positions 338 to 795 of the family's 1533-position model. The record is from RNAcentral.